This 83-nucleotide transfer RNA is filed under the name Burkholderia cenocepacia. RNAcentral's name for it is "tRNA-Cys". Lineage: Bacteria; Pseudomonadati; Pseudomonadota; Betaproteobacteria; Burkholderiales; Burkholderiaceae. The record is from RNAcentral. RNAcentral also lists the same sequence under 2 other names.
AGUCGGUCUGGCGGCACAGGAACGCCGGCGUCUGCAGCACGUCGACGACCGACGCGACCUGUUCGAUCUCGUCGAUCGAAUGC